GGGAGGACAUUUAUAACACGUCUGAUAUGAGAGAUGGGAGGACAUUUAUAACACGUCUGAUAUGAGAGAUGGGAGGACAUUUGUAUCACACGUCUGAUAUGAGAGAUGGGAGGACAUUUAUAACACGUCUGAUAUGAGAGAUGGGAGGACAUUUAUAUCACGUCUGAUAUGAGAGAUGGGAGGACAUUUAUAACACGUCUGAUAUGAGAGACGGGAGGACAUUUAUAACACGUCUGAUAUGAGAGAUGGGAGGACAUUUAUAACACGUCUGAUAUGAGAGAUGGGAGGACAUUUAUAACACGUCUGAUAUGAGAGAUGGGAGGACAUUUAUAACAUGUCUGAUAUGAGAGAUGGGAGGACAUUUAUAACACGUCUGAUAUGAGAGAUGGGAGGACAUUUAUAACACAUGUCUGAUAUGAGAGAUGGGAGGACAUUUAUAACACGUCUGAUAUGAGAGAUGGGAGGACAUUUAUAACACGUCUGAUAUGAGAGAUGGGAGGACAUUUAUAACAUGUCUGAUAUGAGAGAUGGGAGGACAUUUAUAACACGUCUGAUAUGAGAGAUGGGAGGACAUUUAUAUCACGUCUGAUAUGAGAGAUGGGAGGACAUUUGUAUCACACGUCUGAUAUGAGAGAUGGGAGGACAUUUAUAUCACGUCUGAUAUGAGAGAUGGGAGGACUUUUAUAUCACGUCUGAUAUGAGAGAUGGGAGGACAUUUAUAACACGUCUGAUAUGAGAGAUGGGAGGACAUUUAUAUCACGUCUGAUAUGAGAGAUGUGAGGACAUUUAUAACACGUCUGUUAUGAGAGAUGGGAGGACAUUUAUAACACGUCUCAUAUGAGAGAUGGGAGGACAUUUAUAACACGUCUGAUAUGAGAGAUGGGAGGA
RNAcentral lists this long non-coding RNA (888 nucleotides) under Salmo salar (Atlantic salmon). RNAcentral's name for it is "lncRNA (ENSSSAG00000109368.1)". The record is from RNAcentral. Lineage: Eukaryota; Metazoa; Chordata; Actinopteri; Salmoniformes; Salmonidae.